UACGGAGGGUGCAAGCGUUAUCCGGAUUCACUGGGUUUAAAGGGUGCGUAGGUGGGCAGGUAAGUCCGUGGUGAAAUCUCUGAGCUUAACUCAGAAACUGCCGUGGAUACUAUUUGUCUUGAAUGUUGUGGAGGUGAGCGGAAUAUGUCAUGUAGCGGUGAAAUGCUUAGAUAUGACAUAGAACACCAAUUGCGAAGGCAGCUUACUACACAACGAUUGACGCUGAGGCACGAAAGCGUGGGGAUCAAACAGG
RNAcentral lists this ribosomal RNA (253 nucleotides) under uncultured bacterium. RNAcentral describes it as "partial 16S ribosomal RNA". It matches the Rfam family "Bacterial small subunit ribosomal RNA", at positions 524 to 776 of the family's 1533-position model. The record is from RNAcentral.